Molecule: long non-coding RNA, 1333 nt
Organism: Homo sapiens (human)
Lineage: Eukaryota; Metazoa; Chordata; Mammalia; Primates; Hominidae
Exons: 2
Source: RefSeq, a predicted model, not a curated record
UCUUCCAAAAAAGAAAGCAUCAAGCCCAAGUGUUUUCACUGGCGAAUUCUAAGAACUAAUACCACUUCUCUACAAUCUCUUCCAGAAAAUAGAAGCGGAGGGAAUAUUUCCUUAGUUCUGUGAAACCAGCAUUAUUCUAAUACAGAAACAAAAGAUACUACAAGAGGGGAAAACUACAGACCAAUAUAUCUACCAUGUACAAAAUGUAUCUUUUUUCUAUCUUUUGUAUUGGAGAUAUAAAAAUUCUGGACAACAUAUUAGCACACGAAAUCUGCUGUGGUUUGAAUGUUACUGUCCAAAAUUCAUGUUGAAAUGUCCAAUGCAAGAGUAUUAAGAGGUGGGGGUUUUGCAGCCUUCAGCGUUGUUCCGUUCUGCCCCUUCAGCCAUGUAAGGACACAGUGUUCUUCCCCUCUGAAGGUUGAGGCAAUGAAACACCAUCUCGGAAGCGGAAAGUAGCCCUCACCAGAAAACUGAACCUGCUGGUGCCUUGAUCUUGGACUACCUAGCUCCAGAGCUGUGAACACAUUUCUGUUCUUUUAUAUUACCCAGUCUCAAGUAUUUUGUUAUAGCAGCACAUAUGAACUUAAACAGAAUUCAACAAUGUAUAAAAAGAAUUACAUGCUAUGACAAAGUGAGAUUUAUCCCAGGUAUGCAAGGCUGGUUUGACAGGAAAAUCAGUCACUAUAGUCCAUUACAUCAAUAGACUAACUAAGAAAAAUCAUAUCAAUGCAGAAAAAGUAUUUCACUCAAUAGAUGCAGAAAAAGUAUUUCACAAAAUCAAUCAUCCAUUCACCAUAAAAACUCACAGCAAACUAGGAAUAGAGGGGAAUAUCCUCAACUGGAUAAAGAAUAUUUGCAAAAAACCUAUAACCAACAUCAUAAUUAAUGGUGAGAAACUAUAUGCUUUCCCCCUCGGAUCAGAAACAAGAAUGUCUCCUCUCACUACUUCUAGUCAACAUUGCAGGAGGUUCUAGCUAAUACAAUAUGACAAGAAAAGAAAAGGCAUCCAGAUUGGGAAGGACGAAAUAAAACUGUCUUUGUUCACAGAUGACAUAAUUAUUUAUAUAAAGAAAUCCCAAAGAACCAACAAAAAGUGAUCAUAAGAAGGUUGCAGAGACAGCAUCUCACAGUGUUGCCCAGACUGGAGAGCAGUGCACUGCAACCUCUAACUCCUGGGCUCAAGUGAUCCUUCUGCCUCAGCCUCCGGAGUAGCUGGGACUACAGGUGCAUGCCACCAUGCUUGGCAAUAAUCUAUAUAUCUGAUAAUUAUAUAAUUAUAUAGCCACCUCAUCUCUAUUUUUGUUACUAUUUGCAUAAAGUAUCUUUUCCAUUA